Panicum virgatum (switchgrass) is the source of this 680-nucleotide long non-coding RNA. RefSeq lists it as uncharacterized. The record is from RefSeq and is a predicted model, not a curated record. The transcript has 4 exons. Lineage: Eukaryota; Viridiplantae; Streptophyta; Magnoliopsida; Poales; Poaceae.
UCAGUCUGGUUCGGCGUGGUUGGCUACUGGUUGCCCUCGGCGGCGGAGGCGAGAGCGGCGCCGCGCCACCUGCUGAACGCGACACGGCGACGGGCGCGACACGGGGCGGCGUAGACGAAGUCCGCGCCGGCGGCCGGUGCGUGCUCGCUGCCGGCGUUCGGCCGGUGCGCGAGUGCGUUGUGGCCCCGCAACACCAGCCGCCACGGCCAUCAGGGUGCUCGUGGAUCCGCUAGGACUGCCUUGUUGAGUCAAACCGCAACUGGAAGGCCUGCCAAGCACAGGUUCAAGCCUUGAAAGCCUGCCAGGCUAAAAGAAACAAAAAUGAUCAGACCUAACACUUUAUAUCUGCAAGUAGCUGAUAUCAUAAAAUGGUCAGCAUGGAUGUCAGUUUUCAGGAGACAGGAAGCAAUGCAGUGGAUAUUCUUAGCUAUCGAUGGGCAUUAAGAGCAUCUCAAACAGCUCUGAUGGCCGUGAUGUUUCCUUUUUUUUGCAUUGUAUCGCAUAAGUGCAGUUAUAACGACAAUAGAAACUGACACCAUAUAUUACUACCAGAUUUAUCGAUGUAGUGCUUUCAGAUUUCUUGACACAAUAGACAUACUGUGGUCUUUUUUUUUAAAAAAAAAGGAACGACUAGCCUUCGAGCUUGAGCUGAAAGAUUGAUGCAAGAGUAACUUUGUUCA